AGUGACUGGCCUAGCUUCCCAGGCUACAUCUUUCUACUGCGCUGUGCUGGAUGCUUCCUGUCCUUGAACAUCAGACUCUAAGUUCUUCAGUUCUGGGACUUGGACUGGCUCUCCUCACUCCUCAGCUUGCAGACAGUCUAUUGUGGGACCUUGUGAUCUUGUAAGUUAAUACUUAAUAAACUCCCAUAUAAAUAUAUAUCUAUUUCUGUCCUUCUAGAGAACCCUGACUAAUACAGAGGUCAUCUAAAAAUACAGACUUUAACUAGGAAGUUAAUCUGAACUUCGAACCUAGUUUGCUCUCAUUAUUUGACUAAAAAUUCUUACUGGGAGGAUUUUAAGAAAGGCUCUGAAGGAUAGACUUAGCUUCUGCUAUUUCAAGCACAAAAGCAGUUGAUUUUUCUAGUCCUGUGAAGCCACACAUCUCUCAGUCAAAGUAGAUGAAAUGCUGCAUACAGAAAAGGUGUCCAUAAAGGAAGCCCUGUUUCCUUCAAUCUCUUCUUGCAAGCUGGCCUUUUUUACCCUGAAGCUGAGCUCUUUUUUACCCUGAAGCUGAGCUUUUUUUACCCUGAAGGACUUUUCUAAAAAAAGCAGGGAGCCAUAAACACUCACCAAUAUCCUGAGUUUUCCAAUCAGUUUUCUAGAACAGUAAGAUCAGCAUAGAUGUUGCUGGAGUUCCAAUUUCUCACAGGUCACAUUUCUUUUCCUAUUGAUUUUGUGGAAUAAAUAGGUUAUUAGUGUCUCACAAUUUAAUAUCUGUUUCUUCCUCUUCAUCCACCUAAUUGUUAAGCCAAUGACAAAUAUUUUGAGUAUUUAUUAUUGAGGUAUCUCACAUCUCUGAUCAAAUUUUUAUAUUAGGUAGGCUAUAAGAUAAAUCUUUAUAACAAAUGAACCAAAAAUAAUUAUUUUACAUGAAAUUGAAGGCUGUUUCCUCAUAUUUUCACAAAAGGAGAGAGAUCAAGACCAGUAGAAUAGGUCUACUUCAGAGAGUCAUUCAUGGAUCCAUGUUUAGAAUAGGAUAAUAUUCUGCUUGAUGUUCCAUCAUUAUGUAGGGUAUGAUCCUCUUCCACAUGGAUUGGAGGCGGGAGAAAGGAAGUUCAGAAUAACUUCAUCUUCAAGGCAGUGACACUGUACUUGCACAUGUCUUUUGCGAUCACAUCCUCUUUGACCUAAACUUAAUCCCUUGGCCACACAUGUCUGCUAGGAAGGAUGAAAAGUCAAAUCUGUAGUUUAGUUGUGUAUCCUAAUUCCAUGUAAGCUAAAAUAAGGUGUUUUUUUGUUGUUGUUGUUUUUUGUUUUUGUUUUUGUUUUAAAAAACCACAACAAAACAAAGAAGAAAGAAAAGAAGGAAAGAUUGAAUUUGUGAGGACAGCUAGCGACAUAAAAGAUUAAUUUACAAAGAACGUUUAAUUGUAUUCAGUUUCAAAACAGUUUGUUGCCUACAACUAAGGAUAGAUUUUAUCCUGUGUUUCAAGAAGCAUUAAUAACAAUUAUCUCUUGGUGUUUACUAAGUGUAGGCCAUAGAAAAUUUUCCCAUUCUCUUGGAAUGUCAUCAACAACAUAAUCAAGAGGAGGAGUCUUAAAAUUUGGAGGACAUAGCUCCAUCAUGGCAAUAAGCAAACACUUGUUUUUUCCUGGUAAUUUUUAAAAUUAUUCAAGUUGAAAGUAAUACAAUAUCUGUUAACUGAUUUUGAUUUUUUUCUUUAAGCAAUUUAUUUGGGUCACUGUAUUUUUUUAUACUACUCUUUAAUAUAUUCUCUACAGAAUUCUUAAUUGCCUGCAAAAAUGAUUAACAGUAGGCUCCCCUGCUGUUCAACUCAGUCAUUCAUGACUUCACCAGAUGGUUUGUUUUUUUGGGCCAAUGGUUUUUCCUUUUGAUUUUUUUUUCAUAUUGUUUCCCCUCCCCUGGAUACAGUCAAGAUCUGAAAUAUGAUGCUCAGUUUUAAUUUUAUGACUAAAAUAUAAAAUAUUAUGCAGAUAAAUAUUUUAUUUUCGUUAUACUUAAGGCUAAUGGCUAGAGUGUUGGCUAUUGUGGGCAAGGCAAUUUGAAAGUAUACUUGUUUUCUUCAAUUACGUUCUUCACAUAGUCCCUUGUCAUUGUUCUCUAGUAAUUCAAGUGCCAUUAGUUUUUGCCACCUUUUGCAAUCUUCCCUUUGGUUACCCUAUUACUUUUAUGGAUUCAUUUUAUUUAACACUUUUCUUUAAUAUGUUAUUCAAAGUCCUGCUGAGGAAAACUCAUUAGCUGUUACUCAC
Molecule: long non-coding RNA, 2250 nt
Filed under: Homo sapiens (human)
Lineage: Eukaryota; Metazoa; Chordata; Mammalia; Primates; Hominidae
Description: HSALNT0369551
Source: RNAcentral